Molecule: ribosomal RNA, 492 nt
Filed under: uncultured bacterium
Lineage: Bacteria
Description: partial 16S ribosomal RNA
Rfam family: Bacterial small subunit ribosomal RNA
Source: RNAcentral
AGUGAACGCUGGCGGUAGGCCUAACACAUGCAAGUCGAACGGCAGCACAGUAAGAGCUUGCGCUUACGGGUGGCGAGUGGCGGACGGGUGAGGAAUACAUCGGAAUCUACUUUUUCGUGGGGGAUAACGUAGGGAAACUUACGCUAAUACCGCAUACGACCUACGGGUGAAAGCAGGGGAUCUUCGGACCUUGCGCGAUUGAAUGAGCCGAUGUCGGAUUAGCUAGUUGGCGGGGUAAAGGCCCACCAAGCCGACGAUCCGUAGCUGGUCUGAGAGGAUGAUCAGCCACACUGGAACUGAGGCACGGUCCAGACUCCUACGGGAGGCAGCAGUGGGGAAUAUUGGACAAAGGGCGCAAGCCUGAUCCAGCCAUACCGCGUGGGUGAAGAAGGCCUUCGGGUUGUAGAGCCCUUUUGUUGGGAAAGAAAAGCAGCAGGUUAAUACCCCGCUGUUCUGACGGUACCCAAAGAAUAAGCACCGGCUAACUUCGUG